This 567-nucleotide ribosomal RNA is filed under the name Curvularia sp. 2011-9-5. RNAcentral describes it as "eukaryotic LSU rRNA". The stretch from base 194 to 347 matches the Rfam family "5.8S ribosomal RNA". Lineage: Eukaryota; Fungi; Ascomycota; Dothideomycetes; Pleosporales; Pleosporaceae. The record is from RNAcentral.
UCCGUAGGUGAACCUGCGGAGGGAUCAUUACACAAUACAAUAUGAAGGCUGUCCGCAGCUGGAGUAUUUUAUUACCCUUGUCUUUUGCGCACUUGUUGUUUCCUGGGCGGGUUCGCUCGCCACCAGGACCACCAAAUAAACCUUUUUUAUGCAGUUGCAAUCAGCGUCAGUACAAACAAUGUAAAUCAUUUACAACUUUCAACAACGGAUCUCUUGGUUCUGGCAUCGAUGAAGAACGCAGCGAAAUGCGAUACGUAGUGUGAAUUGCAGAAUUUAGUGAAUCAUCGAAUCUUUGAACGCACAUUGCGCCCUUUGGUAUUCCAAAGGGCAUGCCUGUUCGAGCGUCAUUUGUACCCUCAAGCUUUGCUUGGUGUUGGGCGUUUUUGUCUUUGGUCGCCCAAAGACUCGCCUUAAAGUGAUUGGCAGCCGGCCUUUCUGGUUUCGCAGCGCAGCACAUUUUUGCGCUUGCCAUCAGCAAAACGGCAAUCCAUCAAGCCUCCUUCUCACGUUUGACCUCGGAUCAGGUAGGGAUACCCGCUGAACUUAAGCAUAUCAAUAAGCGGAGGA